RNAcentral lists this long non-coding RNA (846 nucleotides) under Chelonoidis abingdonii (Abingdon island giant tortoise). Its description in RNAcentral is "lncRNA (ENSCABG00000018966.1)". Lineage: Eukaryota; Metazoa; Chordata; Testudines; Testudinidae. The record is from RNAcentral.
ACUUCUGCAGAGCUGCUGCUGCUGCUGCAAGGGUUAGGGCCUGAUCGCAAGCAAGCAAUCGGCGCACGGAAAUCCAAGAGCAUUGGUAGUUGUGACAACACACUGCGACCCUGGAAGGAAGUGCUGUGGGGGCUUCACCUAUUACAGCAAAAUGGGUAGCUAGCAGUCGCCCAGGGGUGGCGCUCCCACACAGAGGUUGCAAGAUCAAAAAGGCGUUUACUUCAAGUGUGGAAAAGGUCAGCUAGUGAACAGCCUGGUAUAUAAGAACUGGUCAGACACUGUCACCUACUGGAGGAGCCUUUGAAAGGAAAGAGCCUAGAUCUGGGAUUGUUACAGCUGACCUGGAAAAGUUGGUCAGGAGACACGGACGUUUUGGUUCCCAGCCAGUUCUGUUCUGAGAGCAAAAAUGGAGAUGAUGGCCAUUCAGUAUCAACAUGUGGACCCAGAGAAGCAGAAGUCAGGGGAAAAAUUGAUUUGGCCGGAGACUCAAAGCACCAAGUCACCCAUCCAGCGAGAGGAAAGCGUUCUGUAUAAUGAACAGAAGGUUCCUGUGUGUACAUGUGGGACGGCCACUCGUCUCAAAGUCCUAGCUGGAAUCGCAGGCACAGCUGUGGCUAUAACUCUCAUCAUUUUAGCAGUGCUGACAACCAGAUCCCAUGUGACCAGUUCUCCUUCCCCUGCCGCCUCCUGUCCAGGCCCCUCCUGCCCAGGCAGCUGGAUUGGGUACCGAGGGAAAUGCUAUUAUUUCUCACAGAUGGAAGGGAAUUGGACCUACAGCCAGAGCCAGUGCUCAGCACUCAAUGCCUCCCUGGCUGUGAUUGACAGCGAGCAUGACCUGGUAAGAAG